Molecule: ribosomal RNA, 254 nt
Filed under: uncultured bacterium
Lineage: Bacteria
Description: partial 16S ribosomal RNA
Rfam family: Bacterial small subunit ribosomal RNA
Source: RNAcentral
UACGUAGGGGGCGAGCGUUGUCCGAAGUUACUGGGCGUAAAGCGCGCGUAGGCGGUUAAUUAAGUCUGUGGUGAAAGGUUCAGCGCUCAACGCGAACAUUGCCCUGGAUACUGGUUGACUUGAGUCUGGGAGGGGGUAGUGGAAUUCCUGGUGUAGCGGUGAGAUGCGUAGAUAUCAGGAGGAACACCGGUGGCGAAGGCGACUACCUGGCCUAAGACUGACGCUGAGGUGCGAAAGCGUGGGGAGCGAACGGG